UAUGUUCUAUAUUGGAUCUGCUCGGACGUGUCUUUAAAUGUCCGAUCAGGGGGAAAUUCGGUGAGAAUCCGGUGCAACCGCCAUUACUGUGUUAAGAUCAUAAGAUGGUCUUUCAGUCAGAAUACCCGCAGAUUUAUUCUACAUACA
RNAcentral lists this non-coding RNA (147 nucleotides) under Clostridium sp. The record is from RNAcentral. Lineage: Bacteria; Bacillati; Bacillota; Clostridia; Eubacteriales; Clostridiaceae.